Oryza glaberrima (African rice) is the source of this 205-nucleotide non-coding RNA. The record is from Rfam. NCBI's taxonomy places the organism in Eukaryota, Viridiplantae, Streptophyta, Magnoliopsida, Poales, Poaceae.
AAAAAGACAAACCCUGGUUUCCGUGUCCAACGUUUGACCGUCCGUUUUAUUUGAAAAAUUUAUGAAAAAAAUUAAAAAGACAAGUCACGCAUAAAAUAUUAAUCAUGUUUUAUCAUCUAACAACAAUGAAAAUAUAAAUUAUAAAAAAAAUUUAUAUAAGAUGGACAGUUAAAGUUAGACACGGAAACCCAGAGUUUGCUUUUUU